UGGGGGAAUAUUGCACAAUGGGCGCAAGCCUGAUGCAGCGACGCCGCGUGCGGGAUGGAGGCCUUCGGGUUGUAAACCGCUUUGUUCAAGGGCAAGGCACGGUCUUUGGCCGUGUUGAGUGGAUUGUUCGAAUAAGCACCGGCUAACUACGUGCC
RNAcentral lists this ribosomal RNA (155 nucleotides) under uncultured bacterium. RNAcentral describes it as "partial 16S ribosomal RNA". It matches the Rfam family "Bacterial small subunit ribosomal RNA", at positions 354 to 509 of the family's 1533-position model. The record is from RNAcentral.